CACGCCGUAAACGAUGAGUACUAGGUGUCGGAGGUAUCGACCCCUUCUGUGCCGCAGUAAACACAAUAAGUACUCCGCCUGGGAAGUACGAUCGCAAGAUUAAAACUCAAAGGAAUUGACGGGGGCCCGCACAAGCAGCGGAGCAUGUGGUUUAAUUCGAAGCAACGCGAAGAACCUUACCUGGACUUGACAUACCCUGAAUAUCGUAGAGAUAAGAGAAGCCCUUCGGGGCAGGGAGACAGGUGG
Molecule: ribosomal RNA, 246 nt
Filed under: uncultured bacterium
Lineage: Bacteria
Description: partial 16S ribosomal RNA
Rfam family: Bacterial small subunit ribosomal RNA
Source: RNAcentral